Molecule: ribosomal RNA, 508 nt
Filed under: uncultured bacterium
Lineage: Bacteria
Description: partial 16S ribosomal RNA
Rfam family: Bacterial small subunit ribosomal RNA
Source: RNAcentral
GAUGAACGCUAGCUACAGGCUUAACACAUGCAAGUCGAGGGGAUACGAUAUUGGAAGCUUGCCUCCGAUAGGCGUCGACCGGCGCACGGGUGAGUAACGCGUAUCCAACCUGCCCAUCACUUGGGGAUAACCUUGCGAAAGUAAGACUAAUACCCAAUGACGUCUCUAGAAGACAUCUGAAGGAGAUUAAAGAUUUAUCGGUGAUGGAUGGGGAUGCGUCUGAUUAGCUUGUUGGCGGGGUAACGGCCCACCAAGGCGACGAUCAGUAGGGGUUCUGAGAGGAAGGUCCCCCACAUUGGAACUGAGACACGGUCCAAACUCCUACGGGAGGCAGCAGUGAGGAAUAUUGGUCAAUGGACGAGAGUCUGAACCAGCCAAGUAGCGUGCAGGAUGACGGCCCUAUGGGUUGUAAACUGCUUUUAUAAGGGAAUAAAGUGAGUCUCGUGAGACUUUUUGCAUGUACCUUAUGAAUAAGGACCGGCUAAUUCCGUGCCAGCCGCCGCGGUAA